Triplophysa dalaica is the source of this 3564-nucleotide long non-coding RNA. RefSeq lists it as uncharacterized. NCBI's taxonomy places the organism in Eukaryota, Metazoa, Chordata, Actinopteri, Cypriniformes, Nemacheilidae. The record is from RefSeq and is a predicted model, not a curated record. The transcript has 8 exons.
GGUUUUAUAUCUGCCUUGCGUGAUGACGUCAUUUCGGGUAAACUCACGCUGCGUCCUCAGAUCGCUUUGAGCAUGCUGAGGAGAGGUGAAAAGUUACAGACGUAACAUCUAUUCAUACUGUACUCUCUUUAAUCCAUCCAGGCCUCAUAAUAAAAUCUCCAUCAGCAACAGUUCCAGUUGUUUCUUUUCGUAUUCUGUUACACAACGCAGAGUAGUAAUAAGCAACAAGUACCAGCCGGUUACACAGACAUGGUGGCUUCUGAGACUACUACCUCUUAUGAUUGGUGAUUUGAUUCCAGAAGGUCACAAGCACUGGGAAAUACCGCUUUCCUUGCUUGGCUGUAUGGAGAUGAUUUUUUCUCCAGCUUUGAAUGAAGAGGCAGUUAUAUUUUUACAACAUCUGAUUGAGGAACACAACAGACUAUUUUUGGAGCUUUAUCCAGAAAGGCAUCUGAAGCCAAAACACCACUUUAUGCUUCAUUAUCCUGGGGCUAUCAGAAAACUCGGACCCUUGGUCAAGUUUGGAGGCCAAAUAUGGCUUUUUUAAGAGAGUAUGCCAUAUCACGUGCAAUUUUCGCAAUAUUUGUAAAACGCAGGCUUACCGACACCAAAUGAUGAUGUGCUACAUCAUGUUGUCUGACCAGAUGUUCUCACAUGACUUGGAAGUUGGUCCAGGAUACACCACGCUCCUGGCAUUAUUAGAGAAUUUUGAAAAAGUAAAAUGUGGGUUUGAUGGAGCUCCAUUGUUCUCAGAUGUCUUGCCUGCUUGGAUUAAAUUUAAGGGAACUACCUACAGGUCAGGAAUGACACUUUUUGUGUCUCACUCUGGUGAUAGUGAGCCCCUGUUCGGAACCAUUCAAAACAUUGUGCUCAUUGACACCAAAAUCAAAUUUAUUGUGAAACAAUGGGAGACAGUAGGAUUUGACAGACAUUUUUUUGCUUUCACGGUGUCUCCUUCUUCUGCACUUGACUUGGUGGACAUCCAGUCACUUGAUGAUCACCACCCUCUCCAUGUUGUGACGUCCUUUAAAGAGAAUGACCGUAAUAAUUACGUUUCUCUGAGAAACAGGCUAUUUCAGAGGCAACCAUAAAGGCUGAUGAUACAUUGUUUUAUUUAAGUAGUAUAUCUUGAAGAGCAUAUGUUUUACACACUACUCACUCUAGUUGUAAAGAGCAUCCUAUGCAAUAAUAGUUUUAACAUUUCAGUAUUUUCCUUUUUAAGCUAAAAUGGCUUAUCAUCAGCCAAAGCUGUGGAAGUGAGUAUUAGUUUAAAGUCAUUUUUAUUUUUUGGUUUUAAUGUCAGAUUUAAUCAAACUAAAACAAAGGGUAAGCUUGUCUACACCUACUACCCAAUACUACCUCUUGACUAUUAACAAUAUUCGGGUAAUAAUUAUAUCAGUCAUCAUGGGCACAUCACAAAACAUAGAGAUGUUCACGAUUUAGUGACAUCAAAAUCCAGGUACAGUAAAUUUCACUAUAAUAUGAUAGUCAAAACUUGCUGAAAUUGAAAAUUAAGUUUACUUUUGUUCAGUAACACUUAAAUAAAAUAUGAUGCAUACUGUUAGAAUUAAUACAGGUAAAUUGCCCUUCUAUUGUACUGUAUGUAUCAAUCAGAAUUUAUAAUUCAACCUUGGACAUCAUCUACAUACCACAAUUUAUUUUAUAGGAAUCAAUCCCAGAUGCUGGCACAGUAAGCAGAGCAGUAUCUGAAAAAACAAGUGCAGAGCAGCAUGGUCAUGAACCAAAUAUAUCUCUGGAGGAAAUAACUUCAUUUAACGUAAGAGAAAUUCUUCUGGCAACACCUGAUGGAAAACCUAUUAUUAAUGGUAUAGAAGAAAAGCACUGCAUGUCAAUUCAUGAGAGACGAGCCAUGGUUCGGAUAUUGGUGUCACAUCUGAGGAGGUGCUUUGGAGAAAAGUAAGUGCUUAAGAAAAAUGUUCAAUGUGCAUUUUUAAUCAAAAAAAGUGCAUUACUUUUGUUGCCUUUAGUCCAUAUGCCGGUACAAAAGUCAUCUUGGCUUCAUCUGUUGUUGAACAGUUUCAAGGCCUUAAGGACUGCCAGAAUAAAGGCUAUGAAGCAUGGUUCAGUCCAGGUCGAAAUCACAGACCUGCCAAAGGCCUCUUGGAGGAGCGCCUUACCAAAUCAGAGUAUAUCAAACAACACUGACGAAGCCAAUAACUUAACUUUGCCGGAAUCAACUGUGGACAUGGAACGAGCCGUUCAAAUGACUGAGUGGCUUAAAAAUAAUAUCUGGCCACCAAGUUAGGUUGAACAAUACAUGAAAGAGACAGCCAUCCAUCGGGCAAAAUGGAUUUGAGAUAAUGGAACCAAAGCAGUCAUGGAAAUAGUUAAAGAGUAUCCACGUCUCCUCGACACUCCGGACAUGAUAUCCAAGGACUUUUCAAUUCUUAAUCCUGACUCUGCUUCAAAACUCACGAGAACUGGGUGCCUGUCUUCAAGGAUAAGAUCCGACAGUUCGCCACCCGAGAAAAGCAGCCUGUUCAUUUACUUUCCAAUUUAGAAACUAUGUCAGCAGACCAUCAGAGUGACAUCACCUUACUUGUCCUACCUAUAAUCCUUCCAACCUCAAUUUAUAAGAUUGGAAGGAAAAUGUUCAGACCGACUUAUAUUGAAACCAGGAAGGCUUUCAUAGACAUACAACCGAUCGGAACCAACAUGGCUGAAUACCUGCGGUCAAAAGGCACAAGCGAUGUUCUCAUGCUGGGAGACAACGAGUGCUUUCAGGCUUUUGUUAUACUAAAUGGAGAAGCAAUUGAGCAAAAAACAUUGCUGGCAGCAGUAGAUGUUUGCUUUAAAGCUUUCUACGUCUUCGAUAUCAAUUACCCCAAGCAGUGCUCCCCCGUCUGGCAGUUUCUACAGACUGUGGUCUUUGGACUUCUUGGAGUUUAAACUCCAUCAAUAAGAAUUCUACGUGCUUUUAUAUCUGCUGCUAAAGAGUAGUUAUUGUUAGUUAGAACAACUUUGCUGGUGCAAUUUAUUUUGCUUGAAGUUCUUACUGUGACCCUUUCUCUAGGAAAAACUGAACAUAUGCAGUUUGUUAUUUUGGCUGAAUGUUAUCUGAUUCUGACAUUGUGCAGAGGUGCAUAAAGUGUUAAACAUGUUCUGAGAAUGUUUUAAUGCCAAAGUUUUUACAAUGAAUUUUUCUGUGACAAUUUCUCUCUUAGGAAAACAGAAUUUAUGCAGUUUGUUGCUUUGGAUGAAUGUUUACUGAUUCUGACAUGCUGAUGUGCAUAAAGUGUAAAACAAGUUAAGAGAAUGUUUUAAAGCCAAUGAUUUUACACUAAAAUUGAUUUUACUGAGACAAUUUCUUUAGUGGUUUGUUAUUUUUGCAGAAUGUUAACUGAUGCUGACAUUGUGCAGAGGUGUGUUAAAAAAAAUAGAGAAUGUUUUUAUGCCAAUGUUUUUACACUACAAUUGAUUCAUUUUUACUGUGACCAUUUCUCUCUUAGGAAAAUUGUUGUUUUUUGCUGAAUGUUAACUGAUGCUGACAUUGUGUAGAUGUGCAUAGUUCUCAACAAGUUAUAAAGUUUGAGAAUGUUUUAA